UCCCAUCCAUCCCUGCCUGAGAUCAAGAGCCUCCUCCUCUGGGGGGCAGGGGUGGGGUGGGAUCCCUGGCUUUGAGCUCCGGAGCCAGUUUGGCAGCACAGAAGACAAACAAGGACUGUCAGGAUGUACAACGCUGGGAGAGUUCCCAGGAAGCCUUCUGUCAGUUCUGGGACAAUUGCUAUACAAUAGAGGGGGAACAUGUGCAUGCCACAGUGCAUGUGUGGAAGGCAGAGGACAAUUUUGGGAGUGUCAAUUAUCUUCUUCCAUCACGUGGAGCCUGGGUUUGCUGAGUACUCUUACCUGCUGAGCUAUCUCAUCAGCCCCUGGAGUGACUCCUAUCAGAUAUCCGUGUUUGUGUCUGUGAAUUCGGGUCUGGCCCCACGGAGACCAGGAGGGAGAGAGUCAAAUUCCCUGGAUCUGAAGUUACAAGUGCUUAGGAGCUGCUGGAUAUGGGAACUAGCGUCCAAACUCAGCUCCUCUGGAAGAGCCGAGGGCGGUCUUCACUACUGAGUCAUCUCUCCAGUGCAGGGGCCCAUGGGAAAGGGACACUAAACUUGCUCUGCUGCCUACCUGCGACCCCAGCUCCAAGUGGAGACAGCUGAGACAUGAAGACUGCUGGGUCUUAAAAUUUUUAAGUAAAUACAUUUUCAAAACCUCAAAUUUUGGGGCUGGUGAGAUGGCUCAGUAGGUAAGAGCACCCAACUGCUCUUCCGAAGGUCAGGAGUUCAAAUCCCAGCAACCACAUGGUGGCUCACAACCAUCUGUAACGAGAUCUGACUCCCUCUUCUGGAGUGUCUGAGGGCAGCUACAGUGUACUUACAUAUAAUAAAUAAAUCUUUAAAAAACAAAAACAAAAACAAAAACAAAAAACCUCAAAUUUCAACAAAACAACAACAACAACAGCAACAAAUCCCUCACUUUGCAUCCAGCAGAUGCAGUAGUCAACCUUCAGCAACGCUGGAUGUUAGGGCUGAUAUCUGCCUCUUAAAACUUCAGUGGGGCCGGGCGUGGUGGCGCACG
Long non-coding RNA from Mus musculus (house mouse), 1020 nucleotides. RefSeq annotates it as predicted gene, 39250. NCBI's taxonomy places the organism in Eukaryota, Metazoa, Chordata, Mammalia, Rodentia, Muridae. The transcript has 4 exons. The record is from RefSeq and is a predicted model, not a curated record.